UGUGGCCAAUCCAACUUGUGAGUCGAUCGUAAACUUUUAUUACUCAGCUGUAAAUUUUCUGCAAACAACCGGGAAUGCGAUGCAUUUGUGUAGCGUGUGCAAAUGGGCGCCACGGUCGCCAUGUUUACCCAAUUCUCUCAGAAAGGGAGCAUCCCUCGACCCCCACCCCACCCUCACCCACCGCCCACUCCCCAAAGGCCGGCUGCUCUAGACUAACACAACAAGAGCAGACAGGGGAAGUAGGGAGGGAAGAAAAGAGGGUUCGGAUGCCGAGGACCCACUGCCUUCUCUUGCUGUCCCGAAUUUUAAAUACUUUUCUUAAUAAAUGAAGAAAGAGAACACAUCUUUUCUACUGCAGUGCCCCAGGCAAGCCCCCCACUCCCCACCCAUCAAACAAGAACUGGAGUCUCAGGCUGCUGGCAACCCUCCUAACCAAGCCUAAGAUGGAGAUGUAGAUGGAGUCUAAAGGACGGAGAGCUGGACCAGGAUUUGGCAGUCCUUUGGAGGCAGCAGAAGGGGUGAGAGUUUUGUGCAGCUUCAAGGCUCCUUAAAAUAACUUUCAUUUCUCAGGUGGUCCCUUUCUCAGACAGAAUGACACUCCCUGCACCCAAGACUAUGCCUAGCUUCAGGCCAUCUUGUUUUCCAGAUAUUAAUGGCAACUUUCAAUCCUCAAAAAAAAAAAAAUUAAUUAAAAACAAUGUUAAAGCUGAA
This is a long non-coding RNA of Mus musculus (house mouse), 711 nucleotides long. RefSeq annotates it as predicted gene, 29905. The transcript has 2 exons. The record is from RefSeq and is a predicted model, not a curated record. NCBI's taxonomy places the organism in Eukaryota, Metazoa, Chordata, Mammalia, Rodentia, Muridae.